CCUACGGGAGGCAGCAGUGGGGGAUAUUGCACAAUGGGGGGAACCCUGAUGCAGCGACGCCGCGUGGGUGAAGAAGCGCCUCGGCGCGUAAAGCCCUGUCAGCAGGGAAGAAAAUGACGGUACCUGAAGAAGAAGCCCCGGCUAACUACGUGCCAGCAGCCGCGGUAAUACGUAGGGGGCAAGCGUUAUCCGGAUUUACUGGGGGUAAAGGGGGCGCAGACGGCGAUGCAAGCCAGGAGGGAAAGCCCGGGGGCCAACCCCGGGACUGCUCUUGGAACUGCGUGGCUGGAGUGCAGGAGGGGCAUGCGGAAUUCCUGGUGUAGCGGUGAAAUGCGUAGAUAUCAGGAGGAACACCGGUGGCGAAGGCGGCCUGCUGGACUGCAACUGACGUUGAGGCCCGAAAGCGUGGGGAGCAAACAGGAUUAGAUACCCCUGUAGUC
This 440-nucleotide ribosomal RNA is filed under the name uncultured bacterium. Its description in RNAcentral is "partial 16S ribosomal RNA". It matches the Rfam family "Bacterial small subunit ribosomal RNA", at positions 338 to 795 of the family's 1533-position model. The record is from RNAcentral.